AAACCCUUUUGCACUCUACUACAUGGUUUCUUGGUUUGUAGGUGUGUUCACUUUUUGGUUGACUACCUUUCUGUUUCAGUCACACCCUCUAGCAUGUUUGAGAGCUUAGUCCACAUGUGAUUAGUUUCAGUUUGUAUGCUCUGGUCAAAAAGACACUUGUACUGUUUUUGUUAGUUACUGUACUUCAUAGAAGCAGUACUUUAGGCAGGAGCACAUAUUUGAAACUUCCUGGGGUUUUUUAUAUUCCCUGCCCAAUUGCUGGUGAAAGUUCCUGUGAAAAAAUUUACUGCUGAAAUUAUUUUCUGUAAAAACUUUGUUUUAAUUUUCCACUUGGAACUUGGUUAAGGAUUCUGAUGGACCAGUCUGGAAAUGAGUUACGUGGUGUACUUUUUGAUAGCUCUUGCAGAUAACAAAAUGAGUUGCAGAGAAGAAAAUAACACAGGCAGUGAACAGAUUUCCCCUCUAUGCUAAGACCCCUACAGAGCUUAUUUGCUGCUAACUUCUUUCGAGAGGGACUAAGUGAGCUCUAAACACAUGAGUGAAUUUGUCUGAAGAUUUCCAAAGAGGAUUAAUAGAGAUGUAUUAUCUGCUUUGGUAUCUCAAGCAGAGAGCCAAAAAUUAUAGAAUACAUCACAUUAUUCAUAACUCGCUCAGCUCUAGUAAUGAAUGCUGUCUGCCAGGGUUGUGCAGAGUAAAGUCUAUUUAAAUGGAGUAGCUUGUCACAGAGAAAACUAAUGCUAGGCAAAAUGUGAUCACAUCCUUUUGAUGCCAAGCAGUUCGUAGCUGUCAACUAAAAAUUAAAGACGACUUGUCUUGGAGCAUCCAGAACCACAGAAAUACAAAAGGUGAUCAACUGAGACUUAGCUGAUUUGAGAUGUCACUUCUGUCUGCUUGGCAACAACACUGUUAAACUUGCUAUAAAUGAGUUUCAAUAUAAUUAACUACUUGUUUUGCCCUGUACUUCAGGAUUUUGUUUCAUGCAUCAGUCAACAAUGCUGUAACCACCUACACAAGAAGGUAAUUAGGCUGGUUUAUUUUUUUUUUUAAUAACCUGGAACUGAAGUAUUGAUAAAGGAACUUAAUUUUUUCUUUCUUAGCUAUAUUAGAAAACCAAAUCUAGGGAUUUUGGUACUGCAGUGAAAUAACACAUUCUUUUAGAAGAGAGAAUUAGGGUGAGGAAUACCAUGAAAAUGCAGUUAAACUGUUCAAGGCAGAAGAAUUCAUAAUGGAAGAUGAAGGGGUCAGGAGUCUAUGCAGUUGACGACGUUUAGGCGUGCAGUGCUACACCUACAGCUUGGGGAUAAACUUUUGCCUCUUUGAGCGUAUUGCUUACCAUGGUUGUGGUCUUGGAGACACCGUGGGAAUCCUGUUAGCGAUGAGCUGUCUGUGUCUGUAUUGAUACAGAGUGCAAUCUUGGUUUUAUUCCUGAGGAAUCUUAGGGCACCACCUCUCUGCUCCUCGUUUGUUUUUCCAAGUCUGAUGGAUUUUCAUUAACAGAUAUUUCCACUGAAUUGCUGAACAAAUUACUUAAUCUCUAGCUUUCUCACCCCCUGUGCCGAGCACGCUAUAUUUUUGUCUUUAAUGUGCAGCAGCAUGAAAAUAAAAGCAAUUUUAUCAUCAGCUUUCAGUAAGAACUGCUUUUUUUUAAAUUAGUGUUUUGCCAGAAUGGUCAGGUGUCGGUCCAAUGUUAGAUGGAUCUUCUAGUUGAUGCUGUUUAAUGUUGAGGGAGGGAGUACAAAAGGUGACAUUGUGUGGUUUGGGUUAGUUUGUUUUUUUUUUUGUUUUUUUUGUUUUUUUAAUGCUGAGAGUUUAGUUAUUUGGGGUUACAUUUUUCAGUGGAAAGCUGAAGAAGAAAACUAUCUAUGUAAGUACUGUUGGCAUAACUCAUCCAGAGCUGAUAAUCCACUUGUACCUGGGAGUCUCUCAAAGACAUGGUCUGCAGUACAGAAAGAGCAAAACAAAAAGGUGGGGACUGGUGUUAAUACAAAAAGCUGCAGAGGAGGAACAAGACCAUCUACAGUUCCUGUUUAAUCAGCUUUUUUUGCUUGUGUAGUAGCAUUCCUUCAAAAGCCUUUUUGGAAAGUGGUGGAGGGACAGGAGGACUGCACAGAGCUUGAGAACGACAGUUAGGGUCCCUGUGGAUCGUUGGAGACUGUAGGGUGCAGCGUGUUACUUAGAGUGAAGUUUGAAGCUGCUGAUGUUGCGAUGCUGGUGCUCCCUUCCUUCGGUCACUUCAGGAUUACAGGUUCCUGCAAUUUGGGGUGAAAAGGAGGGGCAGACAAAAUGGUUCUGAUCCAGUUACAUGCCAUGAUGUCGUUUGAAAAUAACUGAAGGAUUGUGUUUUCUGAUCAAUGCCAUUUCCUCAUUUCACAUAUUGCCACGUGUCUCAUUUGGGGUGAGCGAUAGCUGCUGGUGGCCCUGUUGGCUGCCUGCGUAUGCAGGUUUGGGCAUCACCUAAAAAGAAGUCCAAAGCCUGCAGGCAUGUACCAGAUGAGAAUAAAGUAACUUGGGCCCGAAGAGUUCUUGGUGUGUGGCCGAGUAUCUGCUCCAGAUGAGAGGAGUUGGUGGCAUCUCGGGGGCUACAAAUGGAGAAGUAGGACCGAGGAGGGACACACAGAUGCUGUUUCGUGGAAGUAUCCCAGGUAAAACCCAACUGGAAAGGAUCUAUUGCACGUAUGUCCUGCAGUGACUGUCAGCUAAUUCCAUAUGCCUCAGUGGUAAAAGUUAACCCUUGCGUUUGCCCCCACCACCUUUUGCUUGUGAAUAAUUGGGCUGGUUGAUCCCCUCUCCUGCCAACCUAGAUUUGUGAGAGAUUUUGCAAGUUCAGCUACUUUUGAGUUUUCCUUGGCAUCUGUUGAAGUUGGUGAGGAGUAUAAUUAUCCCUCCUGCCUUUACCUUGCCGACCGCUUUGCGGAGAGGACAGGCUGAGACGAUGCGGCAGCCAGCAGGCGGGAGAUGCUCUGUUCUUUCCCCUCUAAUGGAGGUGGAGGAGGAGGAAGGCCGAAGAAAUGAUAUUUACAGUCCUGCUCAGGCCUCCUGCCUAAAUGCAUCAUUGCCUGGCAGCUGAGUCCCUGUCAAGCUGCCCGUGGGUGGGAAGGCUGCCAGGUGAACACAUGGGCAUGGAUGCCGGCCGUGAAGGAGCACGAGCAGGAAUUGUGGAUGGCAGGAUGGGCGUCCCAGCUGGGCGCAUCCCCGGGACCAGUUACCGCUGAGGAGCUGUGUGUCCCUACAUCUAAGGGCUGGAGUGACUUCAAACAGUCUCCAUGCCUGCUAAUUUGGGGCACGGGAGAGUUGCCAGGCUGAGGCAUGCAUAGCCCUGAGACCUCAGGCUUCGGCUUAGCCGCGGAGCAGGUAGGGAGUUGGCAGCAGCGACAUGAGCAUCCAUAUGCUGGCUUGCCAGUGUGCUUUGCCCGGAGAGGCCGCCUCCGCGGGCGGGUGGAUGAUGGCUUUUCCUUUCUGCCUCCUUUCAUCUGUGAGCAGGGGCCAGAGAAAAUGCAUGGAGGAGGGGGGAACCUCUGCAGCUGGGCUGGCCUGGGUAGGCGUACGGAGCAUAGGGAUUUCUGGACUAAUCCCUGUGCUACCCUCCCAGGAGGGCAGGGUGAAAGCCGGGACUUCACCAGGCAGGCGUGAGUGACAGGGGAAGUCCAGGGUGUUGGUCUGAGAAGAUCCUGCCGUGGAUGCACGCUCCGUCCUGCCUUAACUGGCACAGUCGAGGUCAGUUGUGCCAGCAGGGCUCUGCCGUAUUCCCAGGGGGAGACCUGAGCAGUGGUGAGCCGUGCUGGCCCUCGUAGUAGUCGCUGAACUGACAGUGGGGAGUUGUGCCUUGCCACAGACUUAGUCUGGGACUGGGCUGGGUGGGGAGCUCAGGUGUUUCCCGAGACACGUAGCACCAACCAAGGGAAAACAUUUACAUGGUGUGUGGACCUGCAAUAGUUGUCCCCUCUCUUCAGGCCUAGGUGUGGGGAAAAAGAGCAAAAGCCUUUUUCUUUGCUUGAGUUGUUGAGGAAGAGGGGCUCGUUUUCUUUUACUCAAUUGGGGGUAGGUUGUUUUGGUGGAGCCAUCCCCAUGACAAAGUCAUCCUCCCUCCCUUCCAUUCCCUGGUACACAAAAUGCUUUAAAUUGAUGGGUACUUGCCCUUGUUUUGAAGUGACAGAGCCGGUUCUUUGAUAAAACUGCCAGCUACGCUGCGCAGCUCAGACCUAGUGAAGUUGGGAGAUGUUUUCUGUCUGAUGUCAGCUUGAAGCCUCGCAGACACCGAAUCCCUCUAGAGGAGGGCACAUCUGUUCAGGAAUCUGAUCUCAUUUCUGCCUUAUAGAUUCUCCAACUAAAUGGACCAUUUGCUUUCAUGAAAGUAAUUGCUUUGAAUGCUGUGGAAAAAAGAAGCCAAAGCCGCACAGACAGCACCUAACCUCGCUCGUGUUUAUUCAAUAAAUUAAUAAAAUAAACACUAAUAGGGUAGCGUUCAAGUUGACAACAGCGCAGUAACCUAUUUUGAAGCCGUGGUGGCUAUUGCUAGCACAAGCAACCGCUCUCUGUAACAUAAAAAAAUCUGGCUGGGGCUGCAGAUAGCGGUUAUAGUGCACCCACGAGCAUCGUGGAGCUGGGGCCUAACAGCUCCAUAGAAACACAUCUGUUCCCCACCAUGCUGAUGGGGGGCUGCUCCGGUUCCGCUGAAUUCAUCCCCCUGGCCUCAGUUGCCUCAACUACAGGAGCUCCUGUAAAAUACAAUGCUAAUACCGGAGGGCUGUUGACCUUGGCUCCUUGGUGCUGAAGCUGCUCCCACCCCACUCCCGCCCGGCUGUUGUACGGGCAGGGCACACGCUCCUGGCACAGAGAGCAAUGAGCUUGUGUCCCCAAAUGCGGGGAGAUCUGGGGCACUCAAAUCCUGUCCUAGGCUCUGUGUCAAUAUGGCUUGUGAGCUUUUCCUAGGAAUAAGAAGGGCAUCAUUGCAUUCUCCCUACAAAGCUUCUUCCCUCCCCUGCUGGAGCACCCUGCCCCUCUGCCAGCAGCCUCGCUGCUCCCUGCCUGCCACAGAAGAGAAAUAGUGCUGCACACCCUGCCUGCCAGGAGCCACGGGUGCAUCUUUCCCCACGCACAGACCCCCUCGCCUCCCUCCCAUCCACCCUGUUCCUGGCCUCUCGUGUGGCAGGGAAGCCGUAGCUUAUUUCUGCUGCAGCAGCUUGGCUGGCUAAGGCCGUGUCCUCGGAAGCUGGCAGCAUCCUUCCCUCGCAGUACUCGGGUCCCAUCACCUUCUGAUUUCAGUAUGAGGUUGGG
Egretta garzetta (little egret) is the source of this 5274-nucleotide long non-coding RNA. RefSeq lists it as uncharacterized. The transcript is spliced from 3 exons. The record is from RefSeq and is a predicted model, not a curated record. NCBI's taxonomy places the organism in Eukaryota, Metazoa, Chordata, Aves, Pelecaniformes, Ardeidae.